RNAcentral lists this long non-coding RNA (411 nucleotides) under Lathyrus oleraceus (garden pea). RNAcentral's name for it is "Pisum sativum (pea) long non-coding RNA (PSAT_LNC027622)". Lineage: Eukaryota; Viridiplantae; Streptophyta; Magnoliopsida; Fabales; Fabaceae. The record is from RNAcentral.
CAUGGAAAUAUUUAUUUUGUUUUUAUUUUAAACUUUUAUUCCAGUUCAUAUAUUUAUGGUAGUACCUCAAUAGCAGAUAGUGUUGAGUGGUCUAGUGGAGAGAGGGCAGUUGCAUAAUAUUAGGUGGGGAGGGUUCAAUACUCAUGUGUGGUACUUUUUGCUUUUUAUUUGAUUUUAUUUUUCUUUAGCAUUUUUUAUUCUUUUGGUAUUUUGUUAAUAUCCUUUUUUAUGUUUAUUAUAAUUUCAUUUGUUAAUAAUGCAUAGUUAUUGUAUUUGAAUUUAGUUCAAAAACCAUUUUUUCAAACUAUAAAAAUCAUACUUUUCUCGAUUUAAUAUCGAGCCCAUUUUUUACACCCUUGUAAGUCGAUUGCUUUUUAAGCAUCGCCAUCAACCUCACAUAGCUUACUCUUG